AAUGUUAUAAAUAUUUAUUUAAAGAUUUUCUUAUAUCUUUUCUCAUCACAUCGUCCAGCAAAUAAUAGUUUUAAAUAAAAAAAAAUCCAAUUCGUAUUGUCCAAAUUAUGAGCGUUCGAUAUUUGCGUAGUGUUCAAGGAAUUCUCAAAUUAUUUCAAAUAAUAUUUGGGAUAAUAAUCAUAAUAUUAUUCUGCCUCUCACGUUUCCAACGGAUGUGGAAUCAGAAUUUUUUAUUCUACCUGGCGAUAAUCACCGCUAUAAUUACCAUUCUUUUGCUCUUCGUUUCUUUAUGCGAAAUAUAUAACUCUAUCAUAUGGCCUUGGAAAUCAAUCGAAAUCGGAUACCAUAUAACCGCUGCAAUUCUUUUUGGAAUAGGUGCUAGUUUAGUAAUGGUAUAUAGUAGAAGUCCAACACCCUGGGUCAUUGCUGGUGUUUUUGGAUAUCUAAAUACAGCAUUAUAUGGUCUGCACACGUACUUUUCUGCUGAUUAAAAAGGAUAUACAAUCCCCGAAAUAUUUUUAAAGAACUUUUUUGGCUCAAUCAUAUUAUUUUUUAGUUAUAAUUUUAUUAUUUUUGUGAAGAAAUCUAAAAUGAUCUAUAAAUAUGAUGUAAAAUAAAUAUUGCUUUUGAUAUAAAA
Gordionus sp. m RMFG-2023 is the source of this 637-nucleotide long non-coding RNA. RefSeq lists it as uncharacterized. NCBI's taxonomy places the organism in Eukaryota, Metazoa, Nematomorpha, Gordioida, Chordodea, Parachordodidae. The transcript has 4 exons. The record is from RefSeq and is a predicted model, not a curated record.